RNAcentral lists this ribosomal RNA (626 nucleotides) under Chryseobacterium rhizoplanae. RNAcentral describes it as "bacterial SSU rRNA". It matches the Rfam family "Bacterial small subunit ribosomal RNA", at positions 114 to 740 of the family's 1533-position model. Lineage: Bacteria; Pseudomonadati; Bacteroidota; Flavobacteriia; Flavobacteriales; Weeksellaceae. The record is from RNAcentral.
CACGUGUGCAACCUGCUUUAUUCUGGGGAUAGCCUUUCGAAAAGGAAGGAUUAAUACCCAUAAUAUAGAAAACGGCAUCGUUUUUUAUUGAAAACUCCGGUGGAUAGAGAUGGCACGCGCCAAGAUUAGAUAGUUGGUGAGGUAACGGCUCACCAAGUCUACGAUCUUUUAGGGGCUUGAGAGGGUGAUCCCCCACACUGGUACUGAGACACGGACCAGACUCCUACGGGAGGCAGCAGUGAGGAAUAUUGGACAAUGGGUGAGAGCCUGAUCCAGCCAUCCGCGUGAAGGACGACUGCCCUAUGGGUUGUAAACUUCUUUUGUAUAGGGAUAAACCUACCCUCGUGAGGGUAGCUGAAGGUACUAUACGAAUAAGCACCGGCUAACUCCGUGCCAGCAGCCGCGGUAAUACGGAGGGUGCAAGCGUUAUCCGGAUUUAUUGGGUUUAAAGGGUCCGUAGGCGGAUUUGUAAGUCAGUGGUGAAAUCUCACAGCUUAACUGUGAAACUGCCAUUGAUACUGCAAGUCUUGAGUGUUGUUGAAGUAGCUGGAAUAAGUAGUGUAGCGGUGAAAUGCAUAGAUAUUACUUAGAACACCAAUUGCGAAGGCAGGUUACUAAGCAACAAC